Molecule: long non-coding RNA, 3236 nt
Organism: Hemicordylus capensis (graceful crag lizard)
Lineage: Eukaryota; Metazoa; Chordata; Lepidosauria; Squamata; Cordylidae
Exons: 3
Source: RefSeq, a predicted model, not a curated record
CCAAAUACAAAGAUCUACAAAUUGAAAUUGAAAGGCUGUGGCAGAAAAAGACCAAAAUAAUCCCAGUGGUAGUUGGCGCCCUGGGUGCAGUUCCCAAAGACCUUGAAGAGCACCUCAACACCAUAGGGGCCACAGAAAUCACCAUCAGCCAGUUACAAAAAGCAACUUUACUGGGAACAGCCUAUAUUCUGCGAUGAUAUCUAUAACAACAGCAACAACAUUGACCAUAAAAUUCAGCCAUCCCAGGGAAGGACUCAAUGUCUGGAUAAAACAAACCAGUCAAUAACACCUGUUUGACUGUGUAAAUAAAUAAUAAUAAUAGAACUUGAAGUAACCCAGUGGCAGUAGAUUCAGGACAGACUGCUUUGCACAAUGCAUCUUUACGUUGCGCGAUUCCCUUCGAGAUGUCGGGAGUGCCACUGACUUCACUUAAGAAUUACGCCAAUUAAUGGAAGAUAGGUCUGUCGAUAGACAGGUGAACUCUGGGAACCCCCGUGAAUGAAUGCAGGUAUCCCUCUGAGGGCUGGAUGCUGAGGAAAAACAGAAUAAAUAACAGGGAGAGGGGGCGAUGACUUGCCCCAGCUUGUGCCCCAUUUUAUCCUCCAAUGCAAGUCUCUAGAAAAAAGAUACUUUCCUCCUGCUCAGUUGCCUAUGUGCUGUGAGCUUUGGAGUUGCUUCUUGUGAAUGAGUGAGUUUUUUCAGAGAAUUGGAAUGGAAAGGGACAGACUGUACUUGCUGCUUAUAUGUCUGACGUACAACUGUGCUAGUGGUUGGUUGGUGAGUUGGGUAUUUUUCUACCUCCCCUUUAUGAUACUAUUUGGAAAGAAAGUCACUUCUGCUGUAUUAGAUUGACUGGCCUGGAUCUUGUGUUCUUUCUUUCUUUCUUUCUUUCUUUCUUUCUUUCUUUCUUUCUUUCUUUCUUUCUUUCAUGACGCCUAGAACUACUGAUGGAUGGGCUAAAAGCCCAAAUUCCAAAACAGCCAUCCCAAUUCCUAGAGGAAAGGAACAUAGGAAACUGCCAUACUGAGUCAGACCAUUGGUCCAUCUAGCUCAGUAUUGUCUACACAGACUGACAGCGGCUUCUCCAAGGUUGCAGGCAGGAAUCUCUCUCAGCCCUAUCUUGGAGAAGCCAGGGAGGGAACUUGAAACCUUCUGCUUUCCCAGAGCGGCUCCAUCCCCUGAGGGGAAUAUCUUAACAGUGCUCACACAUCAAGUCUCCCAUUCAUAUGCAACCAGGGCAGACCAUGCUUAGCUGUGAGGACAAGUCAUGCUUGCUACCACAAGACCAGCUGUCCUUGUAGACCAGGUUUAUGUGUCUGAUGUACAACUUUGCUAGUGGUUGGUUGGUGGGUUGGGUAUUUUUCUAUCUCCCCUUAAUGAUACUAGUUGGAAAGAAAGUCACUUCUGCUGUAUUAGAUUGACUGGCCUGGAUCAUGUGACAUUCUUUCUUUCAUGACAGGCUAGAACUACUGAUGGAUGGGCUAACAGUCCAAAUUCCAAAACAGCCAUCCCAGUUCCUAGAGGAAAGGACUCUCUCUCCCUCUCGUUUUAUUGAAUGAAAUGGCUUAACUUCCCGAAAGACUUACCUGGAGUCUGUGAUGAGCUGGAUGAGGGAGAACAAACUGAGGCUGAAUCCAAGGAAGACAGAGCAUCUUUCACCAACUACAAAUGAAAAGAUUCCUAAGUUAAUGCAAACACUACACUGUGCUGCCAAUAGAGUGCAGCCCGUCAAGCUCGUCACUCCCACCCCAAUAUCUCAACUGCCUAAAAUCACAAAAAAUCUUAGUCAUCAGCUCUGAUUCCAAAAAAGGUGAUUUUGGUAUUUGCAGACCCUAAGCCUGCACAGUGACAAAGCGGGGAACAUGAUGCUCCCAACAUAGACUCGAGAGACCGCUCCAUUCCCAACAAGAGAGACACCAGAGAAGUCACACCAAGAUCACCCUCCAAUCCUGAACGUGACUCCAACCCAGCUCAAAUGGAGGAUUAUACCAUCAACCCUAGCUGGUCUUCUCAACACUGACUGAAAAGCAUGCCCUGCACGAUACCGACUAUAUAGAAGAGACCCUACGUGAUACCAACGCUCUCCGGGUCACAGGGAAUCCCCUCACCAUCUGUACUCUCCUAAAUGCUAUUCCAUAGGAUCCGGUGUAUUGCUACUGAGAACGUCGACACUGAGACUACUUUCCAUCUGAUCAUGCCUGAUCGUUCCACUUACAUCUUCGAUGACAGAUCUGUCACUGAUGAUAGAGAACGCUAUCUCCACCCUUGCUCUUGGGCUCCACAUCGAAACCAAUAUCCGGGGAGAUUGCACCAUCCAGACUCUCGGUCCUGAUCAUACUCUCCUCAGCACUGCAGGUCUUGGUCUCAGUCAAGAGAUAAGAGAAGUCAACCACCUAAGCAGCUGGACUUUGACCUCCUACCACCGGAUUCCUCGACUGAAGAAUCCGCCUCAGAGGAAGAUGCAGAAACAGCCCUGGACAUCGCAUGGGGUUCCACACCUUCAGAUCUAAUUGAAGAUCCAAAGCCUCUGCCUCCCUCGGAGUACCUGAAGCUCUUCACUGACCAAGUGGCCUAUAUGGCUACCUCUUUACAUAUCCAGGUUAACGAACCUCCUAAAUCUCCUCCUGAUCCCAUUUUUGGGCCAACUGAUGCUGGAACUUUGCACUCUUUCUUCCUACCACUGAACUCUGCUUGAAUGGACAUUGUCAACGCUUGCUGGGCAUUUUUGCCACCUACCUCUCAGAAGCUGGAAGGUUUUUUUACAAGGUUCAAGCCAGGGACAAUCAGUUCCUUCUGUGCCAUCCUACUCCUCACUCCAUUAUAAUGGACUCUGCUCAGUCCUGUUCAAAGAACAGAAUCCAUUCAGCAGCAUCUGACACAGAAGGCAGAAAAGCAGAUGCCCUUGGGCCUGUCCCCUUUCCAAACAGCUCCUCCAUAUACGUCUCGCCAUGCCACUGACUGUUCAUUCAAUGUUUGCUGCAGCAACUCCUCGCUGGCACACAUGGAUGUGUUCACCUACAUUGGCACCUGGAACAAGAGGAAGAAGAAGAGAGAAUUUGACCUUUUGAUGGCCAGGCCCUUGUUGGAAAGGAGACAAAAUGGAAAGGAGACAAAAACUGAAAAAUAUGGCAAGACCUAUGACCUCCCAACAACCUGCCUACAAUUCCUCAAGGGGCAACAAAUCCUCUUCUUCUGCUGCUGCUGCUAUAUCAUUUUGUCCUUCCAGCUACUCUCAA